UUUGCUUAAUUGUCGUUUCCGUUCUUCUUCAUUCUCGGCGUCAUCUCCAUGCCCUUCAAAAGCGAUCUCAGGACAAGAACGAUUCUGCUAUUGAAUAUGUGGAAGAUAGUACAAUGGGUUGGAUUUAAGCUUAAACGUAUGAUGAAACGUUUCAAGUAGCUAGAGAAUUUUUAAGUAUCGUAGAGAAUCAUCUAGGCCCGGAUUAUGGGUUGACGAUGAUAUGCGAUGUUAAUUUUUUAUAACAUCAUGAGAAAAUUCUGGUUAAUUCUGGUCUAUUACGUCAUCUCCACAGCGUGAUUUUGGAUGACCUAGGCGUCUGCGGUGGCGGAACCGGCAGGGUCUUCAAUCAUCGAGUGAGGUUCCAAUCGAAAACCAAGGACCCGGUUCGGAUUCUGGAUCGGAAUAUGGAGAGCCGGAGCUGAGAUCCUCUGAUCCUCAAGGUGUGGAUGCGGAGAAGCCCGUUGUUCUCACUGAUUAGCCUUUGAGGGAGGCCUCUCCUGAAACCGAUGUUAACCCUGAAGUCGAUGUAUUGGCCACACCUACAGUUGCAGACUGGGUUCUAACCUAGAAAUUGUUGAGCGGGUUAAUGUGGCGGUGGUAACUAAGGCUGAGACAAUGACUAUUAGAGAAAUAUACACCUACAUCCAACAGGAAUCUGCAAAGGAGUUUUUUGGAGUUCAUAGCCACAAUUGAUAGUUUAUCCUCAAAUGUGGCUUCAGAUAUCCCACUGAAUUUGCAAUACCAGGAGGAUUUGGUGUUACAGUUGGAUUUUCCCGCUUCUGUUAUUUGAGUUACAAAUACUUAAAGUUGAGUAGUGGCAUGAGAUAGAGCAGAGUGAUAUGUGACCACAAAAAUUUUCUUCUACAUCUGGAAAACUAACUUGGUGGACCCGAGGAAGAAGUGAGACAGAAGAGAAAAUUAAAGAUAUGCGAUCCAACCCUGAAGAUUUGGUUGUGGCCAUCGUUCAACCCAUGAUAUUCUCUUAUCUCAUCAUGCGAAUUCUGCAAAUUAGUCUCAUGUCUCCAAAUUUGCUUACUUUAUGCCUUCUGAAAGUAAUAUAUUGCCAGGGCCAUCCACGAGUCCAUCAGAGAGAUGGAAGGGACUUUGCUGAUCGGGUCAUUUCAGUGCGGAGCUGAAAUGUGGUGGACGGCAAUGACAGACGAAGGAGAAGGGAUAACAUCGUCACAAUUAUAUUUCACAUGAUUCACCACAACCUAACCUCCCAUCAAGAUCGACGGUGAUAAGAUAUUAUGCAUGCAUUCCUUUCUCCUGAUUUGAUAACGGUGGAACAGAUUACAAACAUUAAGCUACCUACUGAUGUUCCACCCUCUGAUUAGCUCUGCUUUUGAUCUGAUCAAGCAAAGAUGUCAAAGUCUGGUGGAUGAAUGGACCACCGUGGAGUCUUUUACACGUUUGGACCUGAAAAGGUCGCUGAGUUUCUAAUAAAAACGAUAUGGAUCUCAUCUGUAAUG
Molecule: long non-coding RNA, 1472 nt
Organism: Brassica rapa (field mustard)
Lineage: Eukaryota; Viridiplantae; Streptophyta; Magnoliopsida; Brassicales; Brassicaceae
Source: RefSeq, a predicted model, not a curated record